AUUGAACGCUGGCGGCAGGCCUAACACAUGCAAGUCGAGCGAGCGGCGGACGGGGGAGUAAUGCCUAGGAAUCUGCCUGGUAGUGGGGGAUAACGUCCGGAAACGGGCGCUAAUACCGCAUACCAUCGGAUGUGCCCAGAUGGGAUUAGCUUGUAGGUGGGGUAACGGCUCACCUAGGCGACGAUCCCUCGCUGGUCUGAGAGGAUGACCAGCCACACGGGAACUGAGACACGGUCCAGACUCCUACGGGAGGCAGCAGUGGGGAAUAUUGCACAAGGGGGGCAAGCCUGAUGCAGCCAUGCCGCGUGUAUGAAGAAGGCCUUCGGGGUGUAAAGUACUUUAAGCGGGGAGGCGUUACCCGCAGAAGAAGCACCGGCUAACUCCGUGCCAGCAGCCGCGGUAAUAC
This 406-nucleotide ribosomal RNA is filed under the name uncultured bacterium. RNAcentral describes it as "partial 16S ribosomal RNA". It matches the Rfam family "Bacterial small subunit ribosomal RNA", at positions 29 to 526 of the family's 1533-position model. The record is from RNAcentral.